UGGACUAUCGCCAAGUGGUAAGGCGUAGGACUUUGACUCCUACAUUCGCUGGUUCGAGUCCAGCUAGUCCAG
RNAcentral lists this transfer RNA (72 nucleotides) under Coprobacillus sp. RNAcentral's name for it is "tRNA-Gln". It matches the Rfam family "tRNA". From Rfam's summary of the family: Transfer RNA (tRNA) molecules are approximately 80 nucleotides in length. Lineage: Bacteria; Bacillati; Bacillota; Erysipelotrichia; Erysipelotrichales; Coprobacillaceae. The record is from RNAcentral.